Diabrotica virgifera virgifera (western corn rootworm) is the source of this 297-nucleotide long non-coding RNA. RefSeq lists it as uncharacterized. The record is from RefSeq and is a predicted model, not a curated record. The transcript is spliced from 2 exons. Lineage: Eukaryota; Metazoa; Arthropoda; Insecta; Coleoptera; Chrysomelidae.
UUUAUUUUAAUCUAAUCUAAAAUAAAUAAAAGAAAAUUUCAGCACGCCCAUGACAUGAUAGCAACCUACUGAUUAAGUGAUAAAUCAAACAUCAACCAAUAUCACACUGAUUUUGACACUAUAUGUUAAGUAAUGACAUAGUGGGUAUAUUCCUAUGUUUUAACAUUGUUUUAAAUUUGUGACGUCUAUUUGUGUACCUAGUUGUUUCACAACCAACUUUGCAUGCAUGUCAUGUAUUUCUUGAAAAAGGCAUGGAUUCCUGCCGAAACGUCGAAAUAAAAAUGUCAUAACAUCAUA